This 411-nucleotide long non-coding RNA is filed under the name Homo sapiens (human). Its description in RNAcentral is "OPA1 antisense RNA 1". The record is from RNAcentral. Lineage: Eukaryota; Metazoa; Chordata; Mammalia; Primates; Hominidae.
UCUAGCUAUGUUUUUGCUCACCGAAGCUAAAUAUACAUAUGAAUUGAUUCCACAGCCAUGGAAUUGAGAAAAACCAGGAAGUGAUGCUGAAAACAUAAAUGAAACUAUGAUCCACGAUCUGUUGCUCUAAACGCCGUUUCUUCCGGAGAACCUUAAAGAUAAAUAUGCAACCCUUUACAUUCUCCAGUGAUGUCAACAGCCUAAGCUGAAUUUCAAAUUACAUCGAGUCAAUGAAAAGGUGAAUGGAUUUUUAGAGCAACUCAGAUUCAAAGAAUCAAAUCGCCUUUAUUCUUAUUUUAAGGAACAUGACUGAUAACCUGUGCAGAAAAUAAAAAAAAAACUAACUAUAGCAAUCGCAGCAUAUGUUUAACCUAACAAUUAAAAAUAUAUAACUGAAAAUUACAAUAAAAA